AGCGAACGCUGGCGGCAGGCUUAACACAUGCAAGUCGAGCGGGCGUAGCAAUACGUCAGCGGCAGACGGGUGAGUAACGCGUGGGAACAUACCUUUUGGUUCGGAACAACACAGGGAACGUUAGUGCUAAUACCGGAUAAGCCCUUACGGGGAAAGGAUUAUCGCCGAAAGAUUGGCCCGCGUCUGAUUAGCUAGUUGGUGAGGUAAUGGCUCACCAAGGCGACGAUCAGUAGCGGUCUGAGAGGAUGAUCAGCCACAUUGGGACGUGAGACACGGCCCAAACUCCUACGGGAGGCAGCAGUGGGGAAUAUUGGGACAAUGGGCGGCAAGCCUGAUCCAGCC
RNAcentral lists this ribosomal RNA (342 nucleotides) under uncultured bacterium. RNAcentral's name for it is "bacterial SSU rRNA". It matches the Rfam family "Bacterial small subunit ribosomal RNA", at positions 29 to 393 of the family's 1533-position model. The record is from RNAcentral.